This 1307-nucleotide long non-coding RNA is filed under the name Salmo salar (Atlantic salmon). Its description in RNAcentral is "lncRNA (ENSSSAG00000103124.1)". Lineage: Eukaryota; Metazoa; Chordata; Actinopteri; Salmoniformes; Salmonidae. The record is from RNAcentral.
CAGAGAGUAGCAGUAGCGUAAAAGGGGGAAUAGGCGUUGUCUUGCCCUCUUCACGACUGUCUUGGUGUGCUUGGACCAUGUUAGUUUGUUGGUGAUGUGGACACCAAGGAACUUGAAGCGCUCAACCUGCUCCACUGCAGCCCCGUCGAUGAGAAUGGGGGCGUGCUCUGUCCUCCUUUUCCUGUAGUCCACAAUCAUCUCCUUAGACUUGGCUACGUUGAGGGAUAGGUUGUUAUCCUGGCACCACACGGUCAGGUCUCUGACCUCCUCCCUAUAGGCUGUCUCGUCGUUGUCGGUGAUCAGGCCUACCACUGUUGUGUCAUCAGCAAACUUAAUGAUGGUGUUGGAGUCGUGUCUGACCAUGCGGUCGUGGGUGAACAGGGAGUACAGGAGGGGACCGAGCACGCACCCCUGAGGGGCCCCUGUGUUGAGGAUCAGAGUGGCGGAUGUGUUGUUACCUACCCUCACCACCUGGGGGCGGCCCAUCAGGAAGUCCAGGGUCCAGUUGCAGAGGGAGGUGUUUAGUCCCAGGAUCCUUAGCUUAGUGAUGAGCUUUGUGGGCACUAUGGAGUUGAACGCUGAUCUGUAGUCAAUGAACAACAUUCUCACAUAGGUGUUCCUUUUGUCCAGGUGGGAAAGGGCAUCGUGGGUAAAUGAUUUGCUGAUGUCAACGCUGUGAACAUGGUGGUGGUGGGGUUAUAGUAUGGGGCAGGCAUAAGCUACGGACAACGAACGAACACAAUUGCAUUUUAUCAUUGGCAAUUUGAAUGCACAGAGAUACCGUGACGAGAUCCUGAGGCCCAUUGUCGUUCCAUUCAUCCGCCACCAUCACCUCAUGUUUCAGCAUGAUAAUACACGGCCCCGUGUCGCAAGGAUCUGGACACUUCCUGGAAGCUGAAAAUGUCCCAGUUCUUCCAUGGCCUGCAUACUCACCAGACAUGUCAUCCAUUGAGCAUGUUUGGGAUGCUCUGGAUCGAUGUGUAUGACGUCGUGUUUUUAGGUUGUAUUUAUUUACAGAAAACAAGUGAUGGACAACAAUACAGAUAAACAAUUAUUAUAAUAAAUAACAGUGUGGUUGGAAGCACAAGGGCUUGUAUAUAACAUCAACUAAAAAACAAUGUACCAUACAUAAGUACAAAAAGGUAGAAGACCCAGCAGGUUAUUGAUAUAGAUUAGUAUGGUAGUAGACCCAGCAGUCAGGUUAUUGAUAUAGAUUAGUAUGGUAGUAGACCCAGCAGGUUAUUGAUAUAGAUUAGUAUGGUAGUAGACCCAGCAGGUUAUUGAUAUAGAUUAGUAUGGUAGUAGAC